Molecule: long non-coding RNA, 3478 nt
Filed under: Sus scrofa (pig)
Lineage: Eukaryota; Metazoa; Chordata; Mammalia; Artiodactyla; Suidae
Description: lncRNA (ENSSSCG00035068387.1)
Source: RNAcentral
CUGCCGGCAACGUAGGAUCCGAGCUGCCUCUUCGACCUGCACCCCAGCUCAUGGCAACGCUGGAUCCUUAACCCACUGAGCGAGGCCAGGGAUCAAACCCGCAACUUCAUGGUUCCUGGUCCGAUUCGUUUUCUGCUGUGCCACGAUGGGAACUCCCAAGAUUAUCUGUCUUUAAAUCUAUCCACUAACACUAGUGUCUGUAGGUGGGGGAGAGUAAACGUGUUGACCCAAAGUUGCAACUCCCAAGAAGAAACCUCACGUCGGGUUGCAGGAAAGCAACAAACCUCUACAGGCUGGAGAGGAGAAUGUGUGGGACAAGCAGGGCCUCAUGAUUUCAGCUACUUGCUUGGGCCUUCCCAAGCCCCACUGUGUGGGUUGAGGACGACGUGGAGCCACUGUAAUAAUUUUUACACGAGUUACUGAAAAGGAACGCUGUUCUUGCUCCUGUGGUGACCAAUUAAUUGAUGAGAUUUGAGAGUUCUUGGAAGAAAGAAGAAACGGAAGUUCCAAAGAAGAGACAGGAGGUCUCUCUCUCUCUCUCUCUCUAUAUAUAUAUAUAUAUNNNNNNNNNNNNNNNNNNNNNNNNNUUUUUUUUUUUGGCCUUUUUUUUUUAGGACUGUAUGCUCAGCAUAUGGAAGUUCCCAGUUGGGGGUCGAAUCAGAGGUGCAGCUGCCAGCCUAGGCCACAGCCACAACCACAGCAAAGUCGGAUCCAAGCCACAUCUGUGACCUACUCCACAGCUCAUGGCAAUGCUGGAUCCUUAACCCACUGAGCGAGGCCAGGGAUUGUACCCAUAUCCUCAUGGAUACUAGUCGGAUUCGUUUCCGCUGAGCCACAAUGGGAACUCCCUGCUUUAAAGCACUUUUAAUGAGACAUGGAAUGAGUAGCGUUGAGGUAGGGAAAUGCCCAGGAACCAGCCUGAAGGGUGGGCUCAGGAAGGUGUUUCUGGUCAACCCCUCUUGUUUUUCAGAUUUUUUUUUUUUCCAGGGUCAGGGCUGAGGGGCUCCCAGUCACAGAGCCCAAUCAGGCCAUGAUGAUUGCACAAAUUACAAACAUCUACCGCCAACCCAAUUAGCCUUUUUCGAGUGUUAGAACUUGCACAUUUGAGGUCAAGUUCUGUUGGACACAGAGAGGAAGGGUAUCUGGGAAAGGACAGACUUUUCCCAGAAACUCUCUGGCACCCAGCCGCCCUCUCCCCAUUUCAGAUUUGGGAACACAUCCAAAGCAAGGCACCAUGAUGAAGGCGGCUCAGAUACCCUGGGGAAGCUUUCUAGAGGAAAUCCAUUCAAUUGCCUCGGCAUAUGAAUUGGUCCAUUCUCCUUGUGUCCAGCACCGGGUUAGAUGCUCAAGUAGGAGUUGGGGGGUCAGGAAACUUGGCUGGAUCCCUGUGUUUUCCCUGUGUGGGAGGGGAACCAUUCUGUCUUCAAGCUCUGUGGAUUCAGACUGGGGGUUCAGGGGUGAGAAAGACCUGCCCCUAUGCUGGAGGGGAUCACGGUCCAUGGGAGAGACAAACGACAGACCUGGCUCAAUGAUCCUUCUGCUCCGGGGCUCGACCCCACCUGGACCGAUGCUGCCUCUUGAUCCCACACACAGUGCUCAUUAAGCCCCCUCUAUACUAUUAUAUCCCCCCAGGCCCCAACGGGCUGCCGGAUGGGCUAUCUGGUCAACCCAUCCUCCAAAUAACAAUUUAUCUUGAUUAUUGAGAUUUUUGGUACUUGCUGAAAAUUUGCUCUCAUAGCAAAUGCCUAACUUAAAGAACCCUAAUUGAGGCCCGAACAGACCUCACACAGCCAUACAUAUAUAAGCUGCUGCAGGCCAGAGGGGUGAGUGCUUAGAACAAAGCCCAUGAGAGUUCAGAGGGACACCUGAGUCCUUCUGGGGGCAGCAUUUCCCAGAGUGUGCUCUGUGCAACAGCACUCCUGUGAGGCGCUCCUCCAAAAAUAAAAGAUUUUGUGGACAAAUAAGUCUGGGGAACCGUGCACGGUUUAUCUUCCGCUUUAGAUAUUCGUGAUGGACAUAAGCAAGCUGAAGGCUCUGAGACUCUUAUAUGAAGAAACGUUAUUUUCUUAGCCCAACCUCUUUGGCUACUUAACGGGGUCACCCUGGGCAAGUCUAUUAAUGUUUCUUAAAGUGAAAUGACAGGCAGUCAUCUCAGAAUCUCUGGGGAAGCGCUUAUUAGAAAUACAGAGCCACCUGUCCUGCUGCAGGCUUUCUAGGACCCAGGAAUCUGCUUUGAACAAGCUCCCAGUUGAUCGUGAUGCAUGCUCAAGUUAAAAACCCCAGAUCAACCUUCCCAGGCCCUUGGCUCUUUCUCAGAACAUUGUAAAGAUCAAGAGAUAAACUUGACCAAGAGAUUAGUCAAAAAGAAACCUAGAGACUUCCAACUCAUUCUAUGAGGCUACUAUUGUCCUAAUAACAAAACCAGGCAAAGACACCACAGGAAAACUACAGAUGAAAAUAUGUCAUGAAUAUACAUGAAAAAAAUCUUCAACCAAAUACUAACAGAUCAAAUCGAGCAACCUAUCAAAAGCACUACACACCAUGACUGAGUGGGAUUUACCCCAGAAACGCAAGAGUGGUUUAACAUCCAAAAAUCAAUUAAUAUGACAUGCCAUGUCAACAGAAUUAGAGACAAAAGCCAUAUGAUUAUCUCAGUACAUACAGAAAAAGCAUUGGACAAAACCCAACACUCCUUCUUAAUAAAACCACUCAAGCUAAGAAUAGUAAAGAACUUCCUCAACUUGAUAAAAGGCAUCUACCAAAAAACCCCAUAUUUUUUUAAUGGUGAAAGACUCAAUGAUUUCCCUCUAAGAUCAGGAACAAAAAAACUAGGCUGAUCACUCUUGCCUUAUCUAUUCAACACUGUACUUCUCAACAAAGUGUAGAAUGGUGGUUGCCAAGGGCUGAGAGAGGGGAGAUAGGGAGCUGUUGUUCAUUGGGCAUAAAGUUUCAGUUAAGAGGUGAGUAAGUUCUAGAGCUUGUCUGUACAACAUGGUGCCCAGAGUUAAAAAUACUGGAUUGCUCACUUAAAAUCUUUCUUAAGUAGUUCCCAUUGUGGCACAGUGGAAAUGAAUCCGGCUAGGAACCAUGAGGUUGCGGGUUCGAUCCCUGGCCUUGCUCAGUGGGAUAAGGAUCCGGUGUUGCUAUGGCUAUGGUGUAGGCCAGCGGGUGCAGCUCUGAUUCAACCCCUAGCCUGGGAACCUCCAUACGCUGCAGGUGUGGCCCUAAAAAAAGAAAAAAAAAAGCCAAAAAAAUUUUUUUUCUUAAGAGGGUAGAUUUCAUGUUAAGUGUUCUUAUCAUGAAAAAAACAAAGCAAAACAAAAGACACAAAGAAACUUUUUGGAGAUUUAUUACCUUGACUGUAGUGACGGGUUUACGGGUGUGUGCUUCUGCCCAAAUUUAUCAAAUUUGUGUACAUUAAACAUCUGCAGUUUUUUUGUACAUCAAUUGUAAUUCAAUAAAGCUCUUUUAAAACACC